Molecule: long non-coding RNA, 2469 nt
Organism: Eleginops maclovinus (Patagonian blennie)
Lineage: Eukaryota; Metazoa; Chordata; Actinopteri; Perciformes; Eleginopidae
Exons: 3
Source: RefSeq, a predicted model, not a curated record
UACAACUCAGGUAAUACUCAGGUAAAACUCAGGUAAUACCAUGUAAUACUCAUAUACAACUCAGGUAAUACUCAGGUAAAACUCAGAUACAACUCAGGUAAUACUCAGGUAAUACUCAUAUACAACUCAGGUAAUACUCAUGUAAAACUCAGAUACAACUCAUGUAAUACUCAGAUAAUACUCAGGUAAUACUCACAGUGUUACUCAGGUAAUACUGAGGUAAUACUCAGAUACAACUAAGGUAAAACUCAGGUAAUACUCAGGUAAUACUCAGAUACAACUCAGGUAAUACUCAGAAACAACUCAGGUAAAACUCAGGUAAUACUGAGGUAAUACUCAGAUACAACUAAGGUAAAACUCAGGUAAUACUCAGAAACAACUCAGGUAAUACUCAGAAACAACUCAGGUAAUACUCAGAUAAUACUCAGGUAAUACUCACAGUGUUACUCAGGUAAUACUGAGGUAAUACUCAGAUACAACUAAGGUAAAACUCAGGUAAUACUCAGGUAAUACUCAGAUACAACUCAGGUAAUACUCAGAAACAACUCAGGUAAUACUCAGGUAAUACUCAGAUACAACUCAGGUAAUACUCAGAAACAACUCAGGUAAAACUCAGGUAAUACUGAGGUAAUACUCAGAUACAACUAAGGUAAAACUCAGGUAAUACUCAGGUAAUACUCAGAAACAACUCAGGUAAUACUCAGAUAAUACUCAGGUAAUACUCAGAUAAUACUCAGGUAAUACUCACAGUGUUACUCAGGUAAUACUGAGGUAAUACUCAGAAACAACUCAGGUAAUACUCAGGUAAUACUCAGAUACAACUCAGGUAAUACUCAGAAACAACUCAGGUAAAACUCAGGUAAUACUCAGGUAAAACUCAGGUAAUACUCAGGUAAUACUCAGAAACAACUCAGGUAAAACUCAGAUACAACUCAGGUAAUACUCAGAUACAACUCAGGUAAUACUCAGAUACAACUCAGGUAAUACUCAGAUACAACUCAGGUAAUACUCAGGUAAUACUCACAGUGUUACUCAGGUAAUACUUAGGUAAUACUCAGGUAAUACUCAGAUACAACUCAGGUAAUACUCAGAUACAACUCAGGUAAUACUCAGGUUAUACUCAGGUAAUACUCAGUGUUACUCAGGUAAUGCUCAGAUAAUACUCAGGUAAUACUCAGGUAAUACUCAGAAACAACUCAGGUAAUACUCAGAUACAACUCAGGUAAUACUUAGAUAAUACUCAGGUAAUACUCAGAUAAUACUCAGAAACAACUCAGGUAAUACUCAGGUAAUGCUCAGAUACAACUCAGGUAAUACUCAGGUAAUACUCAGGUAAAACUCAGGUAAUACUCAGGUAAUACUCAGAUACAACUCAGGUAAAACUCAGGUAAUACUCAGAUACAACUCAGGUAAUACCCAGAUUAUACUCAGGUAAUACUCACAGUGUUACUCAGGUAAUACUCACAGUGUUACUCCUCAGGUAAUACUCAGGUAAUACCCAGAUAAUACUCAGGUAAUACUCAGAUACAACUCAGGUAAUACUCAGGUAAUACUCAGAUACAACUCAGGUAAUAUUCAGGUAAUACUCAGGUAAUACUCAGUGUUACUCAGGUAAUGCUCAGAUAAUACUCAGGUAAUACUCAGGUAAUACUCAGAAACAACUCAGGUAAUACUCAGAUACAACUCAGGUAAUACUUAGAUAAUACUCAGGUAAUACUCAGAUAAUACUCAGAAACAACUCAGGUAAUACUCAGGUAAUGCUCAGAUACAACUCAGGUAAUACUCAGGUAAUACUCAGGUAAAACUCAGGUAAUACUCAGGUAAUACUCAGAUACAACUCAGGUAAUACUCAGAUACAACUCAGGUAAUACUGAGGUAAUACUCAGAUACAACUCAGGUAAAACUCAUAUACAACUCAGGUAAUACUGAGGUAAUACUCAGAUACAACUCAGGUAAUACUCAGGUAAUACUCAGAUACAACUCAGGUAAAACUCAGGUAAUACUCAGAUACAACUCAGGUAAUACCCAGAUUAUACUCAGGUAAUACUCACAGUGUUACUCAGGUAAUACUCACAGUGUUACUCCUCAGGUAAUACCCAGAUAAUACUCAGGUAAUACUCAGAUACAACUCAGGUAAUACUCAGGUAAUACUCAGAUACAACUCAGGUAAUACUCAGGUAAUACUCAGAUACAACUCAGGUAAUACUCAGGUAAUACUCAGGUAAUACUCAGAUACAACUCAGGUAAUACUCAGGUAAUACCCAGAUAAUACUCAGGUAAUACUCAGAUACAACUCAGGUAAUAUUCAGGUAAUACUCAGGUAAUACUCAGAUACAACUCAGGUAAUACUCAGGUAAUACUCAGGUAAUACUCAUCAUCAACUUUUAUGUUGGUUUUAGUAAACCAGAGCUCCCUAUUGGUCCAGAUAUGAUUCCAUUAAUCAUCCCCAGCCAAUCAGAGUGUUUCCUG